UACGUAGGGAGCAAGCGUUGUCCGGAAUCAUUGGGCGUAAAGCGCGCGUAGGUGGCCCUGUAAGUCCGUUGUGAAAGUCAAAGGCUCAACCUUUGAAAGCCGAUGGAUACUGCAGGGCUAGAGUACGGAAGAGGCGAGUGGAAUUCCUGGUGUAGCGGUGGAAUGCGCAGAUAUCAGGAGGAACACCAAUAGCGAAGGCAGCUCGCUGGGACGUUACUGACACUGAGGCGCGAAAGCGUGGGGAGCGAACAGG
This 253-nucleotide ribosomal RNA is filed under the name uncultured bacterium. RNAcentral's name for it is "partial 16S ribosomal RNA". It matches the Rfam family "Bacterial small subunit ribosomal RNA", at positions 524 to 776 of the family's 1533-position model. The record is from RNAcentral.